This 497-nucleotide ribosomal RNA is filed under the name Pseudomonas sp. LR100. RNAcentral's name for it is "bacterial SSU rRNA". It matches the Rfam family "Bacterial small subunit ribosomal RNA", at positions 606 to 1102 of the family's 1533-position model. The record is from RNAcentral. Lineage: Bacteria; Pseudomonadati; Pseudomonadota; Gammaproteobacteria; Pseudomonadales; Pseudomonadaceae.
GGCUCAACCUGCGACCGCACUCCACACUCACGAGCUAGAAUAUGGUAGAGGGGGCAGGAAUAUCCUGAGGAGCGGCAAAAAUGCGUAGAUAUAGGAAGGAACACCAGUGUCGAAGGCGACCACCUGGACUGAUACUGACACUGAGGUGCGAAAGCGUGGGGAGCACACAGGAUGAGAUAGCCUGGUAGUCCACGCCGUAAACGAUGUCAUCUACACGUUGGCAGCCCUCAGCUAAUAGUGGCGCAGCUAACGCAUUAAGUUGACCGCCUGGGGAGUACGGCCGCAAGGUUAAAACUCAAAGGAAUUGACGGGGGACCGCACAAGCGGUGGAGCAUGUGGUUUAAUUCGAAGCAACGCGAAGAACCUUGCCAGGCCUUGACAUCCAAGGAACCUUCCACAGAAUGAUCGGGGGCUUUGGGAACCGUGAAACAGGUGCCGCCAAGCUGUUGGCAGAAUGUGCCUUCUGACCAUGGGAUAAGUCUUGUAACGAGGGCAAC